UAUUAGUUAGUGUAAAAGCACAUCAAAAUUUGAGUUUGAGGGAUUUAGUUUAGUUCUAUUAC
RNAcentral lists this transfer RNA (62 nucleotides) under Tetrodontophora bielanensis (giant springtail). RNAcentral describes it as "tRNA-Gln". The record is from RNAcentral. Lineage: Eukaryota; Metazoa; Arthropoda; Collembola; Poduromorpha; Onychiuridae.